RNAcentral lists this ribosomal RNA (262 nucleotides) under Alicyclobacillus acidocaldarius subsp. acidocaldarius. Its description in RNAcentral is "partial 16S rRNA". It matches the Rfam family "Bacterial small subunit ribosomal RNA", at positions 69 to 334 of the family's 1533-position model. Lineage: Bacteria; Bacillati; Bacillota; Bacilli; Caryophanales; Alicyclobacillaceae. The record is from RNAcentral.
GACCUCUUCGGAGGUCAGCGGCGGACGGGUGAGGAACACGUGGGUAAUCUGCCUUUCAGACCGGAAUAACGCCCGGAAACGGGCGCUAAUGCCGGAUACGCCCGCGAGGAGGCAUCUUCUUGCGGGGAAAGGCCCGAUUGGGCCGCUGAGAGAGGAGCCCGCGGCGCAUUAGCUGGUUGGCGGGGUAACGGCCCACCAAGGCGACGAUGCGUAGCCGACCUGAGAGGGUGACCGGCCACACUGGGACUGAGACACGGCCCAG